GAUGAACGCUGGCGGCGUGCCUAAUACAUGCAAGUCGAGCGAACAGACGAGGAGCUUGCUCCUCUGACGUUAGCGGCGGACGGGUGAGUAACACGUGGAUAACCUACCUAUAAGACUGGGAUAACUUCGGGAAACCGGAGCUAAUACCGGAUAAUAUAUUGAACCGCAUGGUUCAAUAGUGAAAGACGGUUUUGCUGUCACUUAUAGAUGGAUCCGCGCCGCAUUAGCUAGUUGGUAAGGUAACGGCUUACCAAGGCGACGAUGCGUAGCCGACCUGAGAGGGUGAUCGGCCACACUGGAACUGAGACACGGUCCAGACUCCUACGGGAGGCAGCAGUAGGGAAUCUUCCGCAAUGGGCGAAAGCCUGGCGGAGCAACGCCGCGUGAGUGAUGAAGGUCUUCGGAUCGUAAAACUCUGUUAUUAGGGAAGAACAAAUGUGUAAGUAACUAUGCACGUCUUGACGGUACCUAAUCAGAGAGCCACGGCUAACUACGUG
RNAcentral lists this ribosomal RNA (497 nucleotides) under uncultured bacterium. RNAcentral describes it as "partial 16S ribosomal RNA". It matches the Rfam family "Bacterial small subunit ribosomal RNA", at positions 28 to 507 of the family's 1533-position model. The record is from RNAcentral.